This 699-nucleotide long non-coding RNA is filed under the name Homo sapiens (human). RNAcentral describes it as "HSALNT0344233". Lineage: Eukaryota; Metazoa; Chordata; Mammalia; Primates; Hominidae. The record is from RNAcentral.
GUGAGCGCAAUUCUGAGAUUGCUCGCAAGAAUCCAGGCCUCGGAUGAGGAAGCUGGGGCCAGGGGAAGUGAAGAAAUGCAUCUUCCACUUUCUUAGUGACUCCCGUGGGCACUAUGCCCAUGUCCAGUGGUGCGGCCAUGGUGUGCAUAUGGGUCUCUUUCAAAUGACAGUUAUUUUUAAGGAAAGAAAACACCUGGCUUUCAGUGAGAGUAAUCAGAUAAAGCUGCUUAUGUUCACUGCAAACCUCCCCUGAGGUAAUGAGUGGGAGGCCCUCAGUGGAAAUGUCAGAAAGGCCAGCACUUUAUGCUUUAUUUUCUUUAUUCCCGGUCCAAAAUUAGAUGCAACUGGUGUGACUUCACAAGUGCUGUCCUCGGUCCCAAGCCGGGAUGUGGCCACUGUUUGCCAGGGAUCCUGCUGCAAAGGAUUCCAAAGCUUGGCUCCCAGCCCAGAUGCCCCUGCACUCCUGAGGCAGAGGCUCUGCAAGUCUUCUCCUUUCUCAUUCCCGAGGCUGGGGCUUCAUCCUUACAAAGUGUCCUUACAAACUCCUCCUUCCAAACCUGGCUUCUGAUGAGAGGGUGCAGAGAGAAAUUGGGCUUUGGAGGUAAAUGUAUUCUUCUCUGUAUUUCAUUAUCUCCUGGCACCUAGCACUAGAGCCAGCCUCGCUCAAUGGGCAUAAAAAUAAACAUUUACAUUUGACAG